CUCAAAAUUUCAUACAAAUCGCGAAAGACACAAAUGUAAUGCCAUCUUUUGUUGAAAAUGGUAACUAUUCAUUUAUAUAGUUUCAGUUCUGACUAAACUACUUUCGGUGUGUAUCUUGAGCUGAUGAAGCAAAGAAACGUCAAAACAAUCAAAAUAAAUAAACUGCCUAUAUAAAUUCUAAAUCAUGAUACGAAUAUAUUCAGCAUUAAAUUCAGUGCUAAAUUUAUUAUUUAAUUUCUCAGUAACUAUAUAUCGGAGAACUCGUUCGGAAAUAGCAAUAAGUUUAAAUUCACGUACCUAGGUAGGUAUCGAAGUGAUUUCUGGAUGAAUGAUGACGCUAUGCGCUGCUAUGCUGUUUUCCACCCUUGGGUGGCCAAUGUUUACUGCGAAUGGACAAGCAGGAAGAGCUGGAAAUUCGCUCACUGACCAUAGUGCACACAAUCAAUCUCAUCGCAGAAGAAACGCCAAGUGUUAGCCCAAAUUAUACACGAGUAGAUCCGAAUAAAACCGAUUUUGAGAUGUGACAAAACCGAAUCUUCGAUGCUGCCUCCCAGAAUAAAGGUAAUCAAUAUAGAAAAAAGAAUGACGUUGCGGUUCUUUGUUACCUCUAUUCUCUCAAGCAUUUCUCGCAGUAGAAGACUCAUCCGGCGGAAAAGUACUGAAGAACUUUUUUCAAUUACGGUCAUAAUGACUUUCGCAGUGGAAAAAGCAUUUUUGUUUUGUUUUUAAUAAAGUGUUUCAAUGCUAA
Armigeres subalbatus is the source of this 748-nucleotide long non-coding RNA. RefSeq lists it as uncharacterized. The transcript is spliced from 3 exons. The record is from RefSeq and is a predicted model, not a curated record. Lineage: Eukaryota; Metazoa; Arthropoda; Insecta; Diptera; Culicidae.